This is a non-coding RNA of Otolemur garnettii (small-eared galago), 105 nucleotides long. NCBI's taxonomy places the organism in Eukaryota, Metazoa, Chordata, Mammalia, Primates, Galagidae. The record is from Rfam.
UUGCUUCAGUAACACCUAUACUGAAAUCAGAAUGAUACAGAGAAAAUUAGCAUGGCCCCUGCAAAGAUGACACACAAUAUUGUCAUCUUGUGUGACAAAGUGCUU